AUGUCUGGGGUAACACAACGUUUUAGUCAUGCCGCGAAUUCUGCAUCAGCAGAAGCAAUAUGGUGCCGAGGAUUACAACUGGUUAGUGAUAUUGGCUGCUCAAAGAUAAUUGUGGAAUCAGACUAUCUUGAGCUAGUAAAUGCAUGCACUGGAGUUUCAGAUAUAUUGCCCCCCUAUUCUGCUAUUGUGGCUGACAGUUUUCAGCUUGCACAUGAGGUACCAUCAAUUCAGUUCAGGCAUUGUCCCAGGGAAGCAAAUACUUUGGCACACCUAUUUGCUAGGCAUGCUUAUGAUGCUAAUGUAAUGUAUAAGUGGGAUGAUGAGCCUCCUAGUUUUUUAUUACCUCAUGUUCUGAACGAUGUAACAUUGUUAAAUUAG
This 378-nucleotide ribosomal RNA is filed under the name Triticum aestivum (bread wheat). RNAcentral describes it as "partial small subunit ribosomal RNA". Lineage: Eukaryota; Viridiplantae; Streptophyta; Magnoliopsida; Poales; Poaceae. The record is from RNAcentral.